GACGAACGCUGGCGGCGUGCUUAACACAUGCAAGUCGAACGGAAAGGCCCUGCUUUUGUGGGGUGCUCGAGUGGCGAACGGGUGAGUAACACGUGAGUAACCUGCCCUUGACUUUGGGAUAACUUCAGGAAACUGGGGCUAAUACCGGAUAGGAGCUCCUGCUGCAUGGUGGGGGUUGGAAAGUUUCGGCGGUUGGGGAUGGACUCGCGGCUUAUCAGCUUGUUGGUGGGGUAGUGGCUUACCAAGGCUUUGACGGGUAGCCGGCCUGAGAGGGUGACCGGCCACAUUGGGACUGAGAUACGGCGCAGACUCCUACGGGAGGCAGCAGUGGGGAAUAUUGCACAAUGGGCGGAAGCCUGAUGCAGCAACGCCGCGUGCGGGAUGAUGGCCUUCGGGUUGUAAACCGCUUUCGCCUGUGACGAAGCGUGAGUGACGGUAAUGGGUAAAGAAGCACCGGCUAACUACGUG
This 468-nucleotide ribosomal RNA is filed under the name uncultured bacterium. RNAcentral's name for it is "partial 16S ribosomal RNA". It matches the Rfam family "Bacterial small subunit ribosomal RNA", at positions 28 to 507 of the family's 1533-position model. The record is from RNAcentral.